CAGUAGCCGCGGGAAAACGUAGGUGGCAAGCGCUGUCCGGAAUUAUUGGGCGUAAAGGGCUCGCGGGCGGUUUCUUAAGUCGGAUGUGAAAGCCCCCGGCUCAACCGGGGAGGGUCAUUGGAAACUGGGAAACUUGAGUGCAGAAGAGGAGAGUGGAAUUCCACGUGUAGCGGUGAAAUGCGUAGAGAUGUGGAGGAACACCAGUGGCGAAGGCGACUCUCUGGUCUGUAACUGACGCUGAGGAGCGAAAGCGUGGGGAGCGAACAGGAUUAGAUACCCGUGUAGUCCCUGUCUCUUAUAC
RNAcentral lists this ribosomal RNA (301 nucleotides) under uncultured bacterium. Its description in RNAcentral is "partial 16S ribosomal RNA". It matches the Rfam family "Bacterial small subunit ribosomal RNA", at positions 509 to 807 of the family's 1533-position model. The record is from RNAcentral.